UACAGAGGUCUCAAGCGUUGUUCGGAAUCACUGGGCGUAAAGGGUGCGUAGGCCGCACGGAAAGUCAGAGGUGAAAUCCCGGAGCUCAACUUCGGAAUUGCCUCCGAUACUCCCGUGCUUGAGGACUGGAGUGGAGUCUGGAAUUCACAGUGGAGCAGUGAAAUGCGUAGAUAUUGUGAGGAACACUAGUGGCGAAGGCGAGACUCUGGACAGUUCCUGACGCUGAGGCACGAAGGCCAGGGGAGCAAACGGG
This 253-nucleotide ribosomal RNA is filed under the name uncultured bacterium. RNAcentral describes it as "partial 16S ribosomal RNA". It matches the Rfam family "Bacterial small subunit ribosomal RNA", at positions 524 to 776 of the family's 1533-position model. The record is from RNAcentral.